GCACACUUAGAUCAAUGGCUAGAGCAUCAUUCAUGUUAAGAAGUUGAGGUUGUGGGUUUGAGUCUCACAGUGUACA
RNAcentral lists this transfer RNA (76 nucleotides) under Uromyces viciae-fabae. RNAcentral describes it as "tRNA-Asn (GTT) (tRNA-Asn-GTT-12-1, tRNA-Asn-GTT-12-2)". It matches the Rfam family "tRNA". From Rfam's summary of the family: Transfer RNA (tRNA) molecules are approximately 80 nucleotides in length. Their secondary structure includes four short double-helical elements and three loops (D, anti-codon, and T loops). Further hydrogen bonds mediate the characteristic L-shaped molecular structure. tRNAs have two regions of fundamental functional importance: the anti-codon, which is responsible for specific mRNA codon recognition, and the 3' end, to which the tRNAs corresponding amino acid is attached (by aminoacyl-tRNA synthetases). tRNAs cope with the degeneracy of the genetic code in two manners: having more than one tRNA (with a specific anti-codon) for a particular amino acid; and 'wobble' base-pairing, i.e. permitting non-standard base-pairing at the 3rd anti-codon position. Lineage: Eukaryota; Fungi; Basidiomycota; Pucciniomycetes; Pucciniales; Pucciniaceae. The record is from RNAcentral.